This is a non-coding RNA of Sciurus carolinensis (gray squirrel), 432 nucleotides long. The record is from the annotation of a RefSeq genome assembly. Lineage: Eukaryota; Metazoa; Chordata; Mammalia; Rodentia; Sciuridae.
CAGGAACAGAAGGCAGAGCUCAGGAUGACCUUCACCACAGCCUGGUCUUGUCUCCUCCUGUCAUUCCUUGUUCAGUGCACAGGGUCCUGGGCCCAGCUGACUCAGCCGCCCUCACUGUCUGGGACUCCAGGACAGAAGGUCACCAUCUCCUGCAUUGGAAGCAGCACCAAUAUUGGGAAUGGCUAUUAUGCGCACUGGUAUCAGCAGCUCCCAGGAAUGGCUCCCAAACUCCUCAUCUAUAGUAAUAGCAAUAGACCCUCAGGGAUCCCUGAUCGCUUCUCAGGCUCCAGAUCUGGCAGCUCUGCUUCACUGACCAUUGCUGGACUCCAGCCUGAGGAUGAGGCUGACUAUUUCUGUCAGUCUUAUGAUAAAAGCCUCAAUGCUAACACAGUGCUCCAGUCUCAUGGGGAAGUAAGAGAAGAACCCCUUUAG